Molecule: ribosomal RNA, 523 nt
Filed under: uncultured bacterium
Lineage: Bacteria
Description: bacterial SSU rRNA
Rfam family: Bacterial small subunit ribosomal RNA
Source: RNAcentral
UCAGGACGAACGCUGGCGGCGUGCCUAAUACAUGCAAGUCGAACGGCUUUUCUAUGGAAGCUUGCUUCCACUGAGAAGAUAGUGGCGAACGGGUGAGUAACACGUGGGUAACCUGCCCAUAAGAGGGGGGAUAACAUCCGGAAACGGGUGCUAAUACCGCAUAGUUUUCUUGAUCGCAUGAUUGAGAAAGGAAAGACGGCCUUUGUGCUGUCGCUUAUGGAUGGACCCGCGGCGUAUUAGUUAGUUGGUGAGGUAACGGCUCACCAAGACGAUGAUACGUAGCCGACCUGAGAGGGUGAUCGGCCACAUUGGGACUGAGACACGGCCCAAACUCCUACGGGAGGCAGCAGUAGGGAAUCUUCCGCAAUGGACGAAAGUCUGACGGAGCAACGCCGCGUGAGUGAAGAAAAGGUUUUCGGAUCGUAAAACUCUGUUGUCAGAGAAGAACAAGUUGGAGAGUAACUGCUCCAGCCUUGACGGUAUCUGACCAGAAAGCCACGGCUAACUACGUGCCAGCCGCCGC